This 301-nucleotide ribosomal RNA is filed under the name uncultured bacterium. RNAcentral's name for it is "partial 16S ribosomal RNA". It matches the Rfam family "Bacterial small subunit ribosomal RNA", at positions 509 to 807 of the family's 1533-position model. The record is from RNAcentral.
CAGUAGCCGCGGUAAUACGGAGGGGGCUAGCGUUGUUCGGAAUUACUGGGCGUAAAGCGCACGUAGGCUGCUUCGUAGGCCAGAGGUGAAAGCCCGGGGCUCAACCCCGGAACUGCCUUUGAUACUGGGUGUCUAGAGUAUGGAAGAGGUGAGUGGAAUUCCGAGUGUAGAGGUGAAAUUCGUAGAUAUUAGGAGGAACACCAGUGGCGAAGGCGGCUCACUGGUCCAUUACUGACGCUGAGGUGCGAAAGCGUGGGGAGCAAACAGGAUUAGAUACCCCCGUAGUCCCUGUCUCUUAUAC